Molecule: ribosomal RNA, 447 nt
Filed under: uncultured bacterium
Lineage: Bacteria
Description: bacterial SSU rRNA
Rfam family: Bacterial small subunit ribosomal RNA
Source: RNAcentral
AAGCCAGACUCCUACGGGAGGCAGCAGUGGGGGAUAUUGCACAAUGGGGGAAACCCUGAUGCAGCGACGCCGCGUGGGUGAAGAAGCGCCUCGGCGCGUAAAGCCCUGUCAGCAGGGAAGAAAAUGACGGUACCUGAAGAAGAAGCCCCGGCUAACUACGUGCCAGCAGCCGCGGUAAUACGUAGGGGGCAAGCGUUAUCCGGAUUUACUGGGUGUAAAGGGGGCGCAGACGGCGAUGCAAGCCAGGAGUGAAAGCCCGGGGCCCAACCCCGGGACUGCUCUUGGAACUGCGUGGCUGGAGUGCAGGAGGGGCAGGCGGAAUUCCUGGUGUAGCGGUGAAAUGCGUAGAUAUCAGGAGGAACACCGGUGGCGAAGGCGGCCUGCUGGACUGCGACUGACGUUGAGGCCCGAAAGCGUGGGGAGCAAACAGGAUUAGAUACCCUUGUA